Molecule: ribosomal RNA, 253 nt
Filed under: uncultured bacterium
Lineage: Bacteria
Description: partial 16S ribosomal RNA
Rfam family: Bacterial small subunit ribosomal RNA
Source: RNAcentral
GACGAACCGUCCUAACGUUGUUCGGAAUCACUGGGCUUAAAGGGCGCGUAGGCGGGCUGCCAAGUCCGGGGUGAAAUCUUUCGGCUCAACCGGAAAAUAGCCUUGGAUACUGGCAGUCUCGAGUGAGGUAGGGGCGGGUGGAACUUCCGGUGGAGCGGUGAAAUGCGUUGAUAUCGGAAGGAACGCCGGUGGCGAAAGCGACCCGCUGGACCUCUUCUGACGCUGAGGCGCGAAAGCCAGGGGAGCAAACGGG